RNAcentral lists this long non-coding RNA (2076 nucleotides) under Anolis carolinensis (green anole). RNAcentral's name for it is "lncRNA (ENSACAG00000042048.1)". The record is from RNAcentral. Lineage: Eukaryota; Metazoa; Chordata; Lepidosauria; Squamata; Anolidae.
AUGGGGGAAAACAAAAUGAGAAACAAAGACGUCGUUUUUAACCCUAUGGCGUCGGCCCCCUCCCCUAAGUUUGCUCCAAGUUCGCAACCCCUGGACUCCUGUUCGGGUUUGUUGAGUCCACCUGCUUCCCCUCCCAUUAGUUUGAAAGAGCACUUAAUCUCCUCGUUUGUGACCCCUCAGAGGGAACAUUUAGCCUUUUUUGAAAGGCUUGCCCCGCGCCUUAAAGCGUGGGAGUCGAUAACAUCGGACUCUUGGGUCCUAGAAGUUAUUAAAAAGGGUUAUGCCAUUGAGUUUAUAUCUCACCCCCGAACGGGGAUUCUCCGCACCACCACCCCCUCCGCUUGCCUCUUAGACGAAGUCUCGACCCUCCUGCAGAAGGGUGCGAUCUCUAGAAUACCUCCGCGUAAAGCCCAUUCUUGUUUUUUCUCCAGAUACUUCCUUAUUAGGAAGAGGUCGGGUGGACUGCGUCCAAUACUAGACUUACGUGCCCUUAAUAGGCACAUUCGGGCCCGUAAAUUUCGUAUGGUUACGUUGACCUCCAUAUUGCCUCUAUUGCGUAGGGGAGUCUGGUUUGCGACCAUUGACUUACGUGACGCGUAUUUCCAUAUCUCCAUACGGCGCUCCCAUCGUAGGUACCUUAGCUUCCUAGUAGGACGCUCCAUCUAUUCCUUCAAUGUGCUCCCGUUCGGACUAGCUACGGCGCCAAGGGUGUUCACAAAAUGUAUGGCCACUGUAGCCGCGUACUUAAGACAAAAAGGAAUAAUUCUUUUUCCAUAUAUUGAUGACUGGCUGGUCGUCAGUGACUCAGAAGCAGACCUAAGGGAUGAUGUGUCCUCUACGCUCCUUCUUUUGCAGGACCUUGGCCUGGUGGUCAACAAAGAAAAGUCUCAUUUAACCCCUUCGCAAAACAUCGAGUUCAUUGGGGCUGUCCUAGAUUCUCGGUCAGGAAGGGCCUGUCUUCCAGAGUCCCGCUUCCGGGCUAUCCGGGCCUCCAUAUUGCAACUCCAGUCCCGACGACGAGCUUCAGCGUGGCAUAUCCAGUCCAUCCUAGGCCAUAUGGCCUCCACCACUGCAGUGGUAGAGCUGGCAAGACUAAGAAUGAAACCCCUUCAGAGGUGGUUCCUGGACUCGUUCAAUCCGCUCUGCGACAGCCAAUGGAUGGUGUUGACACCCCCGCCUCCUGUCCUGCAGUCGUUACGAUGGUGGACAAGCAGACGCAACCUGCGGACAGGUCUACCUUUCCGCCCCCCGAUACCAACUUACGAGGUUACAAAGGACGCGUCCCAGGACGGAUGGGGCGCUCAUCUCAACAACGUAGUAAUCAACGGUCGUUGGACAAGCCGCGUGCGAAACUACCAUAUCAAUGUCCUGGAAUUCCUGGCAGUGGAGAAAGCCCUCCACGCCUUCGAAAGGAUCCUGCGAGGAACCACCGUACGGAUUGUGACGGACAAUACAACGGUAAAGUGCUACCUCAACCGGCAGGGAGGUACCCAUUCGAGGCGUCUGCUGCUCUCCUCCCUCCGACUUUGGGACUGGUGCAUCAAGAAGCGAGUGACACCACAAGCAAUACAUCUACCGGGAAAAGACAACGUGCUAGCAGACUCUCUCAGCCGUUCAAAAACGGCAUGUCACGAAUGGCAGCUGAAACACACAGAGUUCCGCCUUCUGGCGCGCCGAUGGGGCUGGCCGAUAAUCGACCUCUUCGCAUCCCCAGAAAACACCCAAUGCACCACGUUUUGCGCACGUCUUCGCCCAGGAGCGGCUCCAGGGUGCUUAGGGGAUGCAUUCCGGUUCCAAUGGACCGGGGGACUACUGUAUGCCUUCCCUCCCCUACCAUUGAUAGGGAGGACCAUCUCGAAGAUCAUGUCGGACAACACAGACUGCAUAGUAAUAACACCAUGGUGGCCACGCCAACCGUGGUUUGCCCCACUCUGGAAGGCAGCGAAGGGCGAAUACGUCAGGUUGGGAAAGUCUCCAGACCUCCUAUCCCUCCACAAAGGGCGGGUCCGCCACCCAGAUGUAUCAUCGCUGAAUCUCACCGGCUGGAGGAUCAGACCAACCUCUCAGCCCCAGUGA